UACGUAGGGGGCAAGCGUUGUCCGGAAUUAUUGGGCGUAAAGAGCUCGUAGGCGGUUUGUCGCGUCGAAUGUGAAAACCCGGGGCUCAACCCCGGGCCUGCAUUCGAUACGGGCAGACUAGAGUUCGGUAGGGGAGUCUGGAAUUCCUGGUGUAGCGGUGAAAUGCGCAGAUAUCAGGAGGAACACCGGUGGCGAAGGCGGCCGGCUGGGGGUGCCCUGACGCUGAGGCGCGAAAGCGUGGGGAGCGAUCCGG
Molecule: ribosomal RNA, 253 nt
Filed under: uncultured bacterium
Lineage: Bacteria
Description: partial 16S ribosomal RNA
Rfam family: Bacterial small subunit ribosomal RNA
Source: RNAcentral